This is a long non-coding RNA of Pygocentrus nattereri (red-bellied piranha), 362 nucleotides long. RefSeq lists it as uncharacterized. The record is from RefSeq and is a predicted model, not a curated record. NCBI's taxonomy places the organism in Eukaryota, Metazoa, Chordata, Actinopteri, Characiformes, Serrasalmidae. The transcript is spliced from 2 exons.
AGCUAAUGCACGCGCAUGUCUACGUCUAUGAACGUAGAACUUAUAGACGCAUUUAACUAUAAAUAUUAGACGUAUAUGUUUUAACUACCAGUAUUAGACCUUACUGUUUUAACUUACUUCUAACUCGGGUUUAUGGUAACCAUUUCCAGCGACGUAGCCACAUUUAGGCCAAAAGUUCUUUGCAUCCUUUCGGGUUCUGACUGCAUGAAUCAAACCAACAGGGGGAGACAUUUACUAAAGAAAGCACGUUAAGCCAUUCACCCCAUUUCAGUAUUACUUCCAUAUAACUGACUUGAGCCAAAGGCACUCACAUGUGGACGGUGAGUAGUUCACUCUGUUACAAUAUUAAAAAGCUCUAUUUA